UGAAAUGCAGCAUUAGAGUGCGAUAAAAUUUGAAUUUAUUCAUAGUAAUUUAUUUUUACUCAUUUCAA
This 68-nucleotide transfer RNA is filed under the name Haematopinus tuberculatus. Its description in RNAcentral is "tRNA-Gln". Lineage: Eukaryota; Metazoa; Arthropoda; Insecta; Psocodea; Haematopinidae. The record is from RNAcentral.